ACUGAGACACGGCCCAAACUCCUACGGGAGGCAGCAGUAGGGAAUCUUCCACAAUGGGCGAAAGCCUGAUGGAGCAACGCCGCGUGGGUGAAGAAGGUCUUCGGAUCGUAAAACCCUGUUGUUAGAGAAGAAAGUGCGUGAGAGUAACUGUUCACGUUUCGACGGUAUCUAACCAGAAAGCCACGGCUAACUACGUGCCAGCAGCCGCGGUAAUACGUAGGUGGCAAGCGUUAUCCGGAUUUAUUGGGCGUAAAGGGAACGCAGGCGGUCUUUUAAGUCUGAUGUGAAAGCCUUCGGCUUAACCGGAGUAGUGCAUUGGAAACUGGGAGACUUGAGUGCAGAAGAGGAGAGUGGAACUCCAUGUGUAGCGGUGAAAUGCGUAGAUAUAUGGAAGAACACCAGUGGCGGAAGCGGCUCUCUGGUCUGUAACUGACGCUGAGGUUCGAAAGCGUGGGUAGCAAACAGGAUUAGAUACCCUGGUAGUCCACGCCGUAAACGAUGAAUGCUAAGUGUUGGAGGGUUUCCGCCCUUCA
This 533-nucleotide ribosomal RNA is filed under the name uncultured bacterium. Its description in RNAcentral is "bacterial SSU rRNA". It matches the Rfam family "Bacterial small subunit ribosomal RNA", at positions 318 to 842 of the family's 1533-position model. The record is from RNAcentral.